CCUUGAUGACGACUGGCGCACGGGUGAGUAACGCGUAUCCAACCUUCCCAUAACUACGGGAUAACCCGUUGAAAGACGGCCUAAUACCGUAUGAUAUCGUUUGCUGACAUCAAAUAACGAUUAAAGGUUUAGCGGUUAUGGAUGGGGAUGCGUCUGAUUAGCUUGUUGGCGGGGUAACGGCCCACCAAGGCAACGAUCAGUAGGGGUUCUGAGAGGAAGGUCCCCCACAUUGGAACUGAGACACGGUCCAAACUCCUACGGGAGGCAGCAGUG
Molecule: ribosomal RNA, 273 nt
Filed under: uncultured Prevotella sp.
Lineage: Bacteria; Pseudomonadati; Bacteroidota; Bacteroidia; Bacteroidales; Prevotellaceae
Description: partial 16S ribosomal RNA
Rfam family: Bacterial small subunit ribosomal RNA
Source: RNAcentral